AACGCACCUUGCGCUCUAUGGUAUUCCGUAGAGCAUGCCUGUUUGAGUGUCAUGAAAACAAUCAACCUUGACUUUGGUUUCAUUACCUUUGUCUCGGCUUGGACUUGGGUGCUUGCCGGUCUCACGAUCGGCUCACCUCAAAUGAAUUAGCUGGACUUGUUGGAAACUGGUUUGACUUGGCGUAAUAAGUAUUUCGCUAAGGACAUUGCUUCGGCUUUGGCCAGUCUCUUUGACUAUGUCUGCUUUCCAACCCCGUCCAUUGGACGAACUUUUUAUGAUCUGGCCUCAAAUCAGGUAGGACUACCCGCUGAACUUAA
RNAcentral lists this unclassified non-coding RNA (317 nucleotides) under Ophiosphaerella sp. RNAcentral describes it as "partial contains 5.8S ribosomal RNA, internal transcribed spacer 2, and large subunit ribosomal RNA". The stretch from base 1 to 52 matches the Rfam family "5.8S ribosomal RNA", at positions 103 to 154 of the family's 154-position model. Lineage: Eukaryota; Fungi; Ascomycota; Dothideomycetes; Pleosporales; Phaeosphaeriaceae. The record is from RNAcentral.